RNAcentral lists this ribosomal RNA (119 nucleotides) under Pteropus alecto (black flying fox). The record is from RNAcentral. Lineage: Eukaryota; Metazoa; Chordata; Mammalia; Chiroptera; Pteropodidae.
GUCUACGGCCAUGCCACCCUGAACGUGCCCGAUCCCGUCUGAUCUUCGAAGCUAAGCAGGGUUGGGCCUGGUUAGUACUUGGAUGGGAGACCAGCUAGGAAGACCAGGUGCUGUAGGCA